GGCCGAGGUGGCCAGGCUCAAGCUCCUCCUUUUGGAGAAGGAAAAGGAAGAGGUCUUGGGCGGGGGCUGAGGGCCCCCCUCUGCGCCC
RNAcentral lists this transfer RNA (88 nucleotides) under Thermus thermophilus. RNAcentral's name for it is "tRNA-Gln". The record is from RNAcentral. Lineage: Bacteria; Thermotogati; Deinococcota; Deinococci; Thermales; Thermaceae.